RNAcentral lists this RNase P RNA (375 nucleotides) under Fidelibacterota bacterium. RNAcentral describes it as "RNase P RNA component class A". It matches the Rfam family "Bacterial RNase P class A". Rfam says of the family: Ribonuclease P (RNase P) is a ubiquitous endoribonuclease, found in archaea, bacteria and eukarya as well as chloroplasts and mitochondria. Its best characterised activity is the generation of mature 5'-ends of tRNAs by cleaving the 5'-leader elements of precursor-tRNAs. Cellular RNase Ps are ribonucleoproteins. The record is from RNAcentral. Lineage: Bacteria; Pseudomonadati; Fidelibacterota.
UGAGUCGAUCGGAUGGUUGCUCUGGGCUUGUUGUUAUAACCCCAGAGAGGAAAGUCCGGGCACCACAGGACGUGAUGCUUCCUAACGGGAAGAUAUUUGUUUAUUCAAAUAAUGGAAAGUGCAGCAGAAAAUAUACCGCCUUCGGGUAAGGGUGAAAUGGUGGUGUAAGAGACCACCCUUCCUUAAAUAAAUUUUAGGUAAGUGUAAACCCCAUCAGGUGCAAGAUUGAAUAGGUUCUGAGAUGUUGUUCGCAUUGAUUGAAGAACGGGUAAAUCGCUGGAUAUUUAUGGUGACGUAAAUACUAGAGAAAUGACCAUCCCUAAAAUUAAAUUAUUGAUUUUAGGACAAAACUCGGCUUACAGAUCGACUCAAUUU